RNAcentral lists this ribosomal RNA (468 nucleotides) under uncultured bacterium. RNAcentral's name for it is "partial 16S ribosomal RNA". It matches the Rfam family "Bacterial small subunit ribosomal RNA", at positions 28 to 507 of the family's 1533-position model. The record is from RNAcentral.
GAUGAACGCUGGCGGCGUGCUUAACACAUGCAAGUCGAACGGUGAAGGCGGAACUUGCUCUGCUGGAUCAUUGGCGCACGGGUGAGUAACACGUGAGCAAUCUGCCCCUGACUCUCUGAUAUGCGCUGGAAACGGCGUCUCUUACUGGAUACGAUCUGCUAAGGCAUCUUCAGCAGCUGGGAAGAAUUUCGGUCAGGUCUGGUCUCGCUGCCUAUCAGCUUGUUGGUGAGGUAAUGGCUCACCAAGGCUUCGACGGGUAGCCGGCCUGAGAGGGUGAACGGCCACACGGGGACUGAGACACGGCCCAGAAGCCUACGGGAGGCAGCAGUGGGGAAUAUUGCAGAAUGGGCGAAAGCCUGAUGCAGCAACGCCGCGUGAGGGACGACGGCCUUCGGGUUGUAAACAUAUGUUAGCAGGGAAGAAGAGAAAGUGACGGUACCUGCAGAAAAAGCGACGGCUAACUACGUG